RNAcentral lists this ribosomal RNA (506 nucleotides) under uncultured bacterium. RNAcentral's name for it is "partial 16S ribosomal RNA". It matches the Rfam family "Bacterial small subunit ribosomal RNA", at positions 29 to 523 of the family's 1533-position model. The record is from RNAcentral.
AGUGAACGCUGGCGGUAGGCCUAACACAUGCAAGUCGAACGGCAGCACAGAGGAGCUUGCUCCUUGGGUGGCGAGUGGCGGACGGGUGAGGAAUACAUCGGAAUCUACUCUGUCGUGGGGGAUAACGUAGGGAAACUUACGCUAAUACCGCAUACGACCUACGGGUGAAAGCAGGGGACCUUCGGGCCUUGCGCGAUUGAAUGAGCCGAUGUCGGAUUAGCUAGUUGGCGGGGUAAAGGCCCACCAAGGCGACGAUCCGUAGCUGGUCUGAGAGGAGGAGCAGCCACACUGGAACUGAGACACGGUCCAGACUCCUACGGGAGGCAGCAGUGGGGAAUAUUGGACAAUGGGCGCAAGCCUGAUCCAGCCAUACCGCGUGGGUGAAGAAGGCCUUCGGGUUGUAAAGCCCUUUUGUUGGGAAAGAAAUCCAGCUGGCUAAUACCCGGUUGGGAUGACGGCACCCAAAGAAUAAGCACCGGCUAACUUCGUGCCAGCCGCCGCCGUAA